AUCUCUUCUCAGCCUUUUGGCUAAGAUCAAGUAUAGGACCUGUUCUUAUCAGUAAAUACCCAGUGCUCAUCCCAAGAAGUGCCCCCCCUUAAUGCCCAUCACCAUCU
RNAcentral lists this small nuclear RNA (107 nucleotides) under Suricata suricatta (meerkat). RNAcentral's name for it is "U2 spliceosomal RNA (ENSSSUG00005013326.1)". It matches the Rfam family "U2 spliceosomal RNA". From Rfam's summary of the family: U2 is a small nuclear RNA (snRNA) component of the spliceosome (involved in pre-mRNA splicing). Complementary binding between U2 snRNA (in an area lying towards the 5' end but 3' to hairpin I) and the branchpoint sequence (BPS) of the intron results the bulging out of an unpaired adenosine, on the BPS, which initiates a nucleophilic attack at the intronic 5' splice site, thus starting the first of two transesterification reactions that mediate splicing. The record is from Rfam by way of RNAcentral. Lineage: Eukaryota; Metazoa; Chordata; Mammalia; Carnivora; Herpestidae.